GGGCCCGCACAAGCGGUGGAGCAUGUGGUUUAAUUCGAUGAUACGCGAGGAACCUUACCAGGGCUUAAAUGGGAAAUGACAGGGGCAGAGACGCCCCCUUCUUCGGACAUUUUUCAAGGUGCUGCAUGGUUGUCGUCAGCUCGUGCCGUGAGGUGUCAGGUUAAGUCCUAUAACGAGCGCAACCCCUACCGUUAGUUGCCAGCGUGUAAUGACGGGGACUCUAACGGAACUGCCGGUGCAAACCGUGAGGAAGGUGGGGACGACGUCAAAUCAUCACGGCCCUUACGUCCUGGGCCACACACGUGCUACAAUGGCAGUGACAAUGGGAUAAUCCCCAAAAGCUGUCUCAGUUCGGAUUGUCGGCUGCAACUCGCCGGCAUGAAGUUGGAAUCGCUAGUA
Molecule: ribosomal RNA, 399 nt
Filed under: uncultured bacterium
Lineage: Bacteria
Description: bacterial SSU rRNA
Rfam family: Bacterial small subunit ribosomal RNA
Source: RNAcentral